AGGAAGCUUCAUAACAUCAUCAACUGGAGUGACAUUGAUUAAGAUCUGCUUGCACUUGUGCUGAGGAAAAUCUAUAGCUGCCAGGCUUCGUCAAUAUCUUGGAAGAAGGAAGCACCCUUGUAUCCAGUUUCAGCAAUGAACACAUCUUCUCCUAAAGGAAGACAAUACAAUCAGACGAUUCUUAAUCAAUGCCAAACACAUCUCCUCACCAGGUAAGUCACUUUAAUGGCCCCUCACAUACAUCACAUUAAUCGUUGUUUCUACAGUUCCACAAGCAAUAGACAAAAGGGACACAAAUGAUCUUUAGACUCAAACUAUUUGCCACCAUCUUUGUGUUACUGCAACUGCAAGCACACGCCUGACUACCUAAGAUCUCAUUUCCUCCAUUUUCAACAUAUACAUUCUCACAUCAGGAACAAAUCUGCACCGUCAUUAAAUAGCUUGGUUAACUAAUCCGAGCAGAUAUUUGACAGAGUAAAACAAAAAUGAAUAAUCUGAAAGCUAGCACGAUUUAC
Molecule: long non-coding RNA, 515 nt
Filed under: Triticum aestivum (bread wheat)
Lineage: Eukaryota; Viridiplantae; Streptophyta; Magnoliopsida; Poales; Poaceae
Description: long non-coding RNA (TAES_LNC027249)
Source: RNAcentral